CCUACGGGAGGCAGCAGUGGGGAAUAUUGCUCAAUGGGGGAAACCCUGAAGCAGCAACGCCGCGUGGAGGAUGAAGGUUUUAGGAUUGUAAACUCCUUUUGUUAGAGAAGAUUAUGACGGUAUCUAACGAAUGAGCACCGGCUAACUCCGUGCCAGCAGCCGCGGUAAUACGGAGGGUGCAAGCGUUACUCGGAGUCACUGGGCGUAAAGAGUGCGUAGGCGGGGUAAUAAGUCAGAUGUGAAAUCCUGUAGCUUAACUACAGAACUGCAUUUGAAACUGUUACUCUGGAGUGUGGGAGAGGUAGGUGGAAUUCUUGGUGUAGGGGUAAAAUGCGUAGAGAUCAAGAGGAAUACUCAUUGCGAAGGCGACCUGCUGGAAUAUUACUGACGCUGAGGCACGAAAGCGUGGGGAGCAAACAGGAUUAGAUACCCUAGUAGUC
Molecule: ribosomal RNA, 440 nt
Filed under: uncultured bacterium
Lineage: Bacteria
Description: partial 16S ribosomal RNA
Rfam family: Bacterial small subunit ribosomal RNA
Source: RNAcentral